This is a long non-coding RNA of Myotis myotis, 428 nucleotides long. RefSeq lists it as uncharacterized. Lineage: Eukaryota; Metazoa; Chordata; Mammalia; Chiroptera; Vespertilionidae. The record is from RefSeq and is a predicted model, not a curated record. The transcript is spliced from 3 exons.
UUGUCCAGUACAGGUCCUGGGUCCCUACUGCCAAAUGGUUUCUGACAUGUUAUGGUUGCUUGUUAAAUAUUUGAUAAAUGAGUCAUCAAGCUGAUCACCUUAUAAUGAAGUUCUGCCCACAUAUGCAUCUGUGUUUGUAACGGCUGUGUUGGGGACAUGCAUUUGUGAUAACCGUCAUGCAUGUAUGAGAAAAGAACAGCGGCAGGUUGAGAUCAAUGACACACGGUACCAGCUGAAGGCCAGACACAGUGCAGAGGCCCAUAGGCAGGAGCUUGCAUUGAUCCUGUAGAUGCUGGGAUGACAAACCACUGAAGGACUCAGGGUAAUUUUGUUUGUGUUCUGCUAUUUUUUUCCCCCCCUGAGCUUCUUAAGCCUCCUGUGCCAUUGCUCUCUACAUCCUUAGGCGGGACUGGCAGUGGGAGCUAUGC